AAAUAGCAGUAUUAGACCCAUUCUUUAACGGCAGAGUCAUUAGUGAGCUCAAAUUUAAAUGAGGGUUAUAAUUGAUCCAUUUUGAAUAACACAAGGACAUUAUUAGACCCAUUUUAUAACGGCAGGAUUAUUUUUGAACUCAAAUUUAAACGAGGUUAUAAUUGAUUAAUUUCGAAUAACACAACGCCAUUUUUGUGCCUUUUCCCUACAAUAUAUUCCAAUUUAAUUAUCCAGGUAUACUCACAAGCAUAGGUCUCCAAGCCCUCCUAAGCAACCGUCGCCGGAAAGUCGCCAUCAACGGCCGAAUUCUCCGAACUGCCGAUCCAAUACAACCACCGGCACUAGAAAUUUACGGUGAAAAUCCCUCUCUCGAAUUUGCCGGUGACGAAACGAACAAAUCCUUAAGCUUGUUUCUCACCACCACUUCCUUUUUAUCCGGUGAAUCUCCGUCGCCGAAAAUCUGAUCCGGCGACGCAUCGUCCUCGGACAAUAGCUGUCUAUCACUUCCUCCGUCGCUGCCAGCGUUGCCGCUGCGGGUGAGGAGCAUGCGAAGAGUUUUACGGCGGCCAUAAUUGGAAGGUGAAAAAAGGGGUUGAGGGUUAAGGAAAGAAGAAGUGGAGGAGGAAGGAAUAUGGAGGAGAUAGAAAGUGAGAUGUGAACUUUAUUAUUGGGUAGGGGACGGCCAUGGAUUAGAUUCUGUGUUUUCGGUCUAAAGAUUUACUAAAAAACCAUCCCUUAAUUCUUUCAUUCUUAUCAACCCUUAAUUCAUCAAAUGGAUACUCAAUUAGUUAGAGGAGAAUCAUCUACAUCUUCUCACUUCUCUUAUGAAGUAUUCCUGAGUUUUAGAGGUGAAGACACCCGGAAAACAUUCACUGGUCAUCUUUAUUCCAAAUUGGAUAAUGUUGGAGUCAAAACCUUCAUUGACGAUGAGGAAUUGAGAAAGGGUGACGUGAUUUCAAGAGAACUAGAGAAAGCAAUUGAAGAGUCAAGAAUUUCCAUUAUUGUUUUCUCAAGAAAUUAUGCUUCCUCUAGUUGGUGUUUAGAUGAACUAGUUAAAAUUCUCGAAUGCAAAGAGAAAUUAAAGCAGAUGGUUUUGCCUAUUUUCUAAUUUUGAUCCUUCUCAAGUGCGAAAGCAAACUGGGUUAUCCAAAUUUAACAAUUAUCCAAAUUUGGUGAUGCAUAUUUCUUAUUAAAUUCUUAUAACUAACAUGCUUAUGGGCAUCGACUAUAGUAUCUCCAUGAUUAAAGAUAUUUGACUUUACUUAACUAAAUGCGGAAAUCAAGCUUGCUCGAAGAAAUCAGGCAUGUGAACAUUUGGAAACUGUUGAAUAGGGUUCCGAAAAUGUAUAAGUACUGAAGGUAGAUCGUGGGACAUUAAAGGGAGUAAACUUGAGGACCAAAGCAUUUGAGCAAAUGAAAAACCUUAGGGUUCUUAUAAUGGAUGAGUUACAUAUUAGUGGAGAUUUUGGGUUGUUGUCCAAGAACCUCAGAUGGUUGUCUUGGAAAAAAUGUCCUUUAAAAUGUAUACCAUCAAAUUUUCCAGCUGAGAAUCUUGUAGUUCUAGAUAUGCGGGAGAGUGAUAUCCAAGAAUUUCAAUUGAAUUUGCAGUGUUGUAGAAGUUUGAAGAAGCUGAAUCUCUCUGAUUGAAAGCAACUCAGAUGCACUCCAAACUUCAAUGGUUUACGGAGUCUGAAGACGUUAUAGUAAAGAAGAUAGGGAUCCAUUUGUUAUAUUUAGACCAACAUGGUAAAGUUAUAUCUUUCCCGGGAGAUGUGGAUCAUUCUUACUCUGAGUACACAAAAAGAGUUUCACCAGGCUUAUUAAUUCCUCCUUAUAAAAGAGGAAAAUUGAUUGUUAGUGAAUUUUACUGGGCUGUUGUUGUUAUUGUAUAAAAGAGGAAAGUUCCGUCAAAUCUACAUCCUUGUUCGAGUAAUUCUUGUAGGAGAGUCAUAAUUUCUUUUCUUCCUCAGCUUUUGAAAAACCACUGCUUGAUAUGUUGUUGAAAUAAAAUAAAUUAAAUACCUU
Nicotiana tabacum (common tobacco) is the source of this 2025-nucleotide long non-coding RNA. RefSeq lists it as uncharacterized. The record is from RefSeq and is a predicted model, not a curated record. NCBI's taxonomy places the organism in Eukaryota, Viridiplantae, Streptophyta, Magnoliopsida, Solanales, Solanaceae.